GACGAACGCUGGCGGCGUGCUUAACACAUGCAAGUCGUACGGUAAGGCCCUUUCGGGGGUACACGAGUGGCGAACGAGUGAGUAACACGUGAGUAACCUGCCCACAACUUUGGGAUAACGCUAGGAAACUGGUGCUAAUACUGGAUAUGUGCUCCUGCUGCAUGGUGGGGGUUGGAAAGCUCCGGCGGUUGUGGAUGGACUCGCGGCCUAUCAGCUUGUUGGUGGGGUAGUGGCCUACCAAGGCGGCGACGGGUAGCCGGCCUGAGAGGGUGACCGGCCACAUUGGGACUGAGAUACGGCCCAGACUCCUACGGGAGGCAGCAGUGGGGAAUAUUGCACAAGGGGCGCAAGCCUGAUGCAGCAACGCCGCGUGCGGGAGGACGGCCUUCGGGUUGUAAACCGCUUUCAGCAGGGACGAAGCUUUUUGUGACGGUACCUGCAGAAGAAGCACCGGCUAACUACGUG
This 465-nucleotide ribosomal RNA is filed under the name uncultured bacterium. Its description in RNAcentral is "partial 16S ribosomal RNA". It matches the Rfam family "Bacterial small subunit ribosomal RNA", at positions 28 to 507 of the family's 1533-position model. The record is from RNAcentral.